CCUACGGGUGGCAGCAGUGAGGAAUAUUGGUCAAUGGGCGGAAGCCUGAACCAGCCAAGUCGCGUGAGGGAAUAAGGCCCUACGGGUCGUAAACCUCUUUUGUCGGGGAACAAAGGCGGAGACGCGUCUCCGGAUGAGUGUACCCGAAGAAAAAGCAUCGGCUAACUCCGUGCCAGCAGCCGCGGUAAUACGGAGGAUGCGAGCGUUAUCCGGAUUUAUUGGGUUUAAAGGGUGCGCAGGCGGGAGAUCAAGUCAGCGGUAAAAUGUCGGGGCUCAACCCCGGCCGGCCGUUGAAACUGGUGUUCUAGAGUGGGAGAGAAGUAUGCGGAAUUCGUGGUGUAGCGGUGAAAUGCAUAGAUAUCACGAAGAACUCCGAUUGCGAAGGCAGCAUACCGGCUCCAUACUGACGCUGAGGCACGAAAGCGUGGGGAUCGAACAGGAUUAGAUACCCGAGUAGUC
This 459-nucleotide ribosomal RNA is filed under the name uncultured bacterium. RNAcentral describes it as "partial 16S ribosomal RNA". It matches the Rfam family "Bacterial small subunit ribosomal RNA", at positions 338 to 795 of the family's 1533-position model. The record is from RNAcentral.